AACGCUGGCGGCGUGCCUAAUACAUGCAAGUCGAACGGUCUUUCUAUGGAAGGCUUGCUCCACUGAGAAGAUAGUGGCGGACGGGUGAGUAACACGUGGGUAACCUGCCCAUAAGAGGGGGAUAACAUCCGGAAACGGGUGCUAAUACCGCAUAGUUUUUCUUGAUCGCAUGAUUGAGAAAGGAAAGACGGCCUUUGUGCUGUCGCUUAUGGAUGGACCCGCGGCGUAUUAGUUAGUUGGUGAGGUAAUGGCUCACCAAGACGAUGAUACGUAGCCGACCUGAGAGGGUGAUCGGCCACAUUGGGACUGAGACACGGCCCAAACUCCUACGGGAGGCAGCAGUAGGGAAUCUUCCGCAAUGGACGAAAGUCUGACGGAGCAACGCCGCGUGAGUGAAGGUAAAAGGGUUUUCGGAUCGUAAAACUCUGUUGUCAGAGAAGAACAAGUUGGAGAGUAACUGCUCCAGCCUUGACGGUAUCUGACCAGAAAGCCACGGCUAACUACGUGCCAGCCGCCGC
RNAcentral lists this ribosomal RNA (518 nucleotides) under uncultured bacterium. RNAcentral's name for it is "bacterial SSU rRNA". It matches the Rfam family "Bacterial small subunit ribosomal RNA", at positions 32 to 518 of the family's 1533-position model. The record is from RNAcentral.